AUUGAACGCUGGCGGCAUGCCUUACACAUGCAAGUCGAACGGCAGCGGGCCCUUCGGGGUGCCGGCGAGUGGCGAACGGGUGAGUAAUGCAUCGGAACGUACCCGGGAGAGGGGGAUAACCGGCCGAAAGGCUGGCUAAUACCGCAUGAACUCGGAAGAGCAAAGCGGGGGACCUUCGGGCCUCGCGCUCUCGGAGCGGCCGAUGUCCGAUUAGGCUAGUUGGUGGGGUAAAGGCCCACCACGGCGACGAUCGGUAGCGGGUGUGAGAGGACGAUCCGCCGCACUGGGACUGGGACACGGCCCAGACUCCUACGGGAGGGAGCAGUGGGGUACGUUGGGCAAUGGGCGGAAGCCUGGUCCAGCAAGGCCGCGUGGGUGAAGGAGGCCUUCGGGUUGUAAAGCCCUUUCGGCGGGGAAGAAAUCGGUCAGGCGAAUAGUCUGGCCGGAUGACGGUACCCGCAGAAGAAGCACCGGCUAACUACGUG
Molecule: ribosomal RNA, 485 nt
Filed under: uncultured bacterium
Lineage: Bacteria
Description: partial 16S ribosomal RNA
Rfam family: Bacterial small subunit ribosomal RNA
Source: RNAcentral